GAAUGGAAUAACUUAAUGUGGGAACAAAUGGACGUCAAAAAACUAAUUGGCAAAUCACUUAAGCCGGCAAGACCAAUUCGCCGUGGUGUGUCUGAAACUGGUAGGUGCUUGUUAUUUUAUGAUUAUAUAGAAGUAAUUAUAUUAUAAACUCAGCCAUACCUAGAUAUCACGGCAUAGGAAAUGUAUGUUAAGAUUCAGAACUGGACCUCUACUUUACAAUGAUCUCACCUAAAAAAAAAAAAAAAAAAAUACAUAAAGGGAAUCAACACCGUAAAGGAGGAGACUAUAUUUUAAAGAAGAGAAACUACUACAACAAGAGGACAUAGUCUUAAUUUAGAGUGGCAAAGGUUUAAAAAUAUCAGGAAGUAUUACUUUACUGAGAGGGUAGUGGAUGCAUGGAGUAGCCUUCCAUCUGAAGUGGUAAAGGUUAACACAGGAAAGGAGUGUUAAUCAUGCGUGGGAUAGGUAUAAGGCCAGGGACUAAUGAAAGUAUUUAGAAAAUUGGGCGGACUAGAUGGGCAGAAUGGUUCUUAUCUGCCAUCACAUUCUAUGUUUCUAAAAACAUUUUGGAGCUUUUAGGAGAUGGUUGGCAGUUUAAUUUUUACUAUAUCAUGACUUUAGUCUCUGAAGUCAUGUUGAUGGGUGACAGGCUUUAGAAUAUUGUUGGUGUUGCUUACCCGCCUGUACCUGGAGGGGAGUUUGCAUGAUGGUACCAAGGGGCUUGAGCAGCAGUCUACCUAUAUGUACUGCAAGUGUACACUGCAGUACAUAUAGGUAGACUGCUAUAUGUGGGAUAAGCAUUUAAGCUGUAGUUCCACUCAUCACAUAGUUUAAAUAGAUAGCAACGUUCAACUUAUUCACAGCUCUGUUCAUAAUUGUAUGAAGCAAGCAGUAUGCCUCAAUCUCCUGAGCCGCCAAUUGUGCAGGCUAAUGCAAGCUUUACACAGACUUGGCACAGGCUUUCUUCAGAGCAGGGGAAUGGAAGUGUGCUUGACUUGCCCAAUAUGUGAAUGCCACAUGCACAUGUUGGAAGGUCCUGGACGACAAAGGACUCCAUGCAUUGAAUGUUCUGGUGUCUUAGAGCAGACUUUUUGGAGCAAGACACUUCCGUAAGCUUUACAUUUCCAAAGCACACAUGCUUAGUUUUUUCUUUUUAACAUCAUCCGCAGCUUGUGCAUAUUGGAUGUAUUUGAAUCCUUAAUGGAGAGAUUUGCACACUUUAAACCAAACUGGCUUAUUGAAUGUAAUCAAUCGUCCGGUAGGAAUUCAAAUUUAAAUGUAAACACUUUUUAAAGCACAUGUUAAAGACUGUUGUGUUUUUUUUUAUUUUUUUAUUGCCCUCAUCUUAUCCACAGUCAACUGCCGAUGGACUCUAGAGUCAAAGACAGACCAUCAAAAUGGGCCUCAAAGCCCCCGACAAACAACCUACUCCCCAACCCAGAGACUGAUCAAGAC
Pelobates cultripes (western spadefoot toad) is the source of this 1455-nucleotide non-coding RNA. NCBI's taxonomy places the organism in Eukaryota, Metazoa, Chordata, Amphibia, Anura, Pelobatidae. The record is from the annotation of a GenBank genome assembly.